ACUAAGUCACAAGGCAACCCUCAUGAUCCCCGGGCAAAAGGGUAGCUCUGUUUUUAAACCCGGAGGAGGCAUCUUCCCCCGGGGGUUGCCGGGCUUCUGUUCCUGUGUGUGUUGGUCUCCAGGAAGCCAUGGAGAGCUUGGCAGCAGAGACAGAGUCUCGAUAUGUCGCCAAGCUUGGUCUCAAACUCCAAGGCUCAAGUGCUCAAGUGAUCCACCCACCUCGACCUCCCAAAGUGCUGGGAUUACAGGGAAAAUAGUAAUUGAGCAUCAGACAUCACCACUCCUGAAAAAAACCUUCUACAAG
Molecule: long non-coding RNA, 304 nt
Filed under: Homo sapiens (human)
Lineage: Eukaryota; Metazoa; Chordata; Mammalia; Primates; Hominidae
Description: non-protein coding lnc-ARSD-2:3
Source: RNAcentral